UACGUAGGGGGCAAGCGUUGCCCGGAUUUAUUGGGCGUAAAGGGCGCGCAGGCGGCUCGGCACGUCCGUUGUGAAAUCGCCCGGCUCAACUGGGCGGGGUCAGCGGAUACGGUCGAGCUUGAGCAAGCUAGGGGGCAAUGGAAUUCCCGGUGUAGUGGUGGAAUGCGUAGAUAUCGGGAGGAACACCAGUGGCGAAGGCGGUUGCCUGGAGCUUUGCUGACGCUGAGGCGCGAAAGCGUGGGGAGCGAUCCGG
Molecule: ribosomal RNA, 253 nt
Filed under: uncultured bacterium
Lineage: Bacteria
Description: partial 16S ribosomal RNA
Rfam family: Bacterial small subunit ribosomal RNA
Source: RNAcentral